AUCCUCUCUCCAGCGAAUGGGGAUUAGGUGGAAAGUGUCAGCAGCCCAGGGACUCUUUUAUGCAUAAUUGGGAAACUCCAUUUAGGAACCAUUAACUUUGAGGUUCUGGUCAACUGAUUUCUUGGGCCCUGGCAAUUGCACUCAGCCUGAUCUACAAAAGAAAGGGUCUUUGAGCUGUUCUUCGUGUCUCUUCUGCACAGGGGCUGCAGUCUGCUAUCAGUUGUGAUGAAAUGCUUGUGCCACACUAUUCUAGAGAACCUGCAAAAAAAAGUUCCAGGUUGAUUCUCUGGUUGCUAGAUCUGUUUUUACCUAAACUGAGAAACAAAACAUUUGGUAGAUACUCAACUGUGUUAAUGUGAAGUCUAUUGCUUUGUCAUAUGAAGUCAAACUCUCACCGUAAGCAUCUUAGCUAAGGUUGGAUAUUUGUUUGCUGGUAGAAACAGCCGUGCAAUCCAGCACCUUAUUUUAUUUUUGUCCAGAGAUGUUGAGAAAAUAAAGCUUUUUUGUUGUUGU
Molecule: long non-coding RNA, 513 nt
Organism: Lagopus leucura (white-tailed ptarmigan)
Lineage: Eukaryota; Metazoa; Chordata; Aves; Galliformes; Phasianidae
Exons: 3
Source: RefSeq, a predicted model, not a curated record